Molecule: long non-coding RNA, 219 nt
Filed under: Lathyrus oleraceus (garden pea)
Lineage: Eukaryota; Viridiplantae; Streptophyta; Magnoliopsida; Fabales; Fabaceae
Description: Pisum sativum (pea) long non-coding RNA (PSAT_LNC019337)
Source: RNAcentral
UUUAUCAUUGGUUUUGAGUUAAGUCUUGCAGUUGACUCCUAUGAGCUUUCAUUUGCCAUGCUUUGACUUCUUUUGUUUAUGAAAUGAUGAUGAUGCAUGAUAUGAACAUGAAACCAAUUGAGUUUGCUUCUUGAUUGUUUAAACUUGAUUUUGAUUGGAUAUCACCUGCUGUUUUGACUUUCUCAUCCUCUUUUGACCCUAGGCAGGUCCUAGUGGUCC